Molecule: non-coding RNA, 50 nt
Filed under: marine eukaryotic metagenome
Source: RNAcentral
CGAGGAAUGAUUUGAUAGAUUGCAACCUCAUUAAAAAAGUGCUAAAGCUA